GAAGUUUUCAGAGAUGAGAAUGUGCCUUCGGGAACCGUGAGACAGGUGCUGCAUGGCUGUCGUCAGCUCGUGUUGUGAAAUGUUGGGUUAAGUCCCGCAACGAGCGCAACCCUUAUCCUUUGUUGCCAGCGGUCCGGCCGGGAACUCAAAGGAGACUGCCAGUGAUAAACUGGAGGAAGGUGGGGAUGACGUCAAGUCAUCAUGGCCCUUACGACCAGGGCUACACACGUGCUACAAUGGCGCAUACAAAGAGAAGCGACCUCGCGAGAGCAAGCGGACCUCAUAAAGUGCGUCGUAGUCCGGAUUGGAGUCUGCAACUCGACUCCAUGAAGUCGGAAUCGCUAGUAAUCGUGGAUCAGAAUGCCACGGUGAAUACGUUCCCGGGCCUUGUACACACCGCCCGUCACACCAUGGGAGUGGGUUGCAAAAGAAGUAGGUAGCUUAACCUUCGGGAGGGCGCUUACCACUUUGUGAUUCAUGACUGGGGUGAAGUCGUAACAAGGUAACCGUAGGGGAACCUGCGGUUGGAUCACCU
This 535-nucleotide ribosomal RNA is filed under the name Escherichia coli. RNAcentral's name for it is "bacterial SSU rRNA". It matches the Rfam family "Bacterial small subunit ribosomal RNA", at positions 993 to 1528 of the family's 1533-position model. The record is from RNAcentral. Lineage: Bacteria; Pseudomonadati; Pseudomonadota; Gammaproteobacteria; Enterobacterales; Enterobacteriaceae.